ACCCCAUAAUAUUUAGAAUGGCAUCAUUUUAAAUUGAAAACUCCGGUGGAUAGAGAUGGGCACGCGCAAGAUUAGAUAGUUGGUGAGGUAACGGCUCACCAAGUCUACGAUCUUUAGGGGGCCUGAGAGGGUGAUCCCCCACACUGGUACUGAGACACGGACCAGACUCCUACGGGAGGCAGCAGUGAGGAAUAUUGGACAAUGGGUGCAAGCCUGAUCCAGCCAUCCCGCGUGAAGGAUGACGGCCCUAUGGGUUGUAAACUUCUUUUGUAUAGGGAUAAACCUACUCUCGUGAGAGUAGCUGAAGGUACUAUACGAAUAAGCACCGGCUAACUCCGUGCCAGCAGCCGCGGUAAUACGGAGGGUGCAAGCGUUAUCCGGAUUUAUUGGGUUUAAAGGGUCCGUAGGCGGAUCUGUAAGUC
Molecule: ribosomal RNA, 422 nt
Filed under: uncultured bacterium
Lineage: Bacteria
Description: bacterial SSU rRNA
Rfam family: Bacterial small subunit ribosomal RNA
Source: RNAcentral